GCCCUGGUGACACCGGGCUCGGCUCUACUAUGUCACCCGAGAACCGAUUGCACGAGAUGGUAUAGACGCAAGCAGUGGCCCGCAGUCAAUACCCAUAGCUCACAACCCCUUGAUCCAAGAGGACGACUCCACGGGAUGUUUGGGGUGUGCACACACCUGGCGACUUACACAGUUUGGGUGGGGACUGGGAGGGACAUAACACGCUCUUGACCACAGGAGAUGGAACUGAUGGUAACCGUUUUGAAAGGCCCAACUGGCCAUGCUAUCCCCCACCCUAUACCCACCUUUCCAUAGCCUAUGGCCCACGGGGGUGACAUCACCACAAGACUCUUU
This is a non-coding RNA of Pelobates cultripes (western spadefoot toad), 333 nucleotides long. Lineage: Eukaryota; Metazoa; Chordata; Amphibia; Anura; Pelobatidae. The record is from the annotation of a GenBank genome assembly.